Long non-coding RNA from Bos taurus (domestic cattle), 1538 nucleotides. The record is from Ensembl. NCBI's taxonomy places the organism in Eukaryota, Metazoa, Chordata, Mammalia, Artiodactyla, Bovidae.
GGGAGGAGGGAGGAGUCUGAGUCAUAAACCCGAGCUUGAGCAAGGUUUGUGAACACGUUGAAGCUGAGAUGGCUUAUCUUGGUCAUCGCCAGCCUUCUGCAAAGAUCUCAAAGUGUGGCAGGGGACCUUGGUUCUGCGAAAGGACACUUUGAAUCCUAAAGGAAAUCAGUCCUGAAUAUUCAUUGGAAGGACUGACGCUGAAGCUUGAAACGCCAGUACUUUGGCCACCUGAUCCGAAGAACUGACUCGUUUGAAAAGACCCUGAUGCUGGGAAAAAUUGAAGGCAGGAGGAGAAGGGGACCACAGAGGAUGAGAUGGUUGGAUGGCAUCACUGACUCUUUGGACACGAGUUUGAGUAAAUUGUGGGAGCUGCUGAUGGACAGGGAGCCCUGGCGUGGUGCAGCCCAUGGGGUCGCAAAGAGUUGGACAUGAUUGAGUGACUGAACUGAACUGAUGAAUUUUCUUCAUGUGGGUUAUGCAUAUUCUUUGACUGUUGCCCAGUUGAACUUGCUCACCGUAGAUACCUUGUUCGGUCAUCUUUCUCAGAUGGAGUGAUGAUUAUCUUCCAGUAAGUUCAUGUCAGACUCUGAAGUAUGUGGCUUGCCGCUCCAUUUGGUCUUGGGAGGGAGGCAAGGCGCCCUGUGAGUAAGCACAGGCUUUGGGAAUCAGACUCAGCUCUGUGACUUUGUGAGGCCGUGAGAAUCAGUGACUUCUGGAGGUGAUGAGGACAGUAGAAACAAAUGCAGUGCACGUGAGGCUGCCCAGGUCAAUGAUGAAUGUCAAGGUUAUAGGCCAAGUGUAGCAUUGAGGUCGGGAAGAGCCAGGCUCCCAGCCUCUGUGAGACCAAGUUAGAAUUUCAGACCUGCCUCCUCCUGUUGAACAGCUUUGGGCAAUUCAUGUAACCCCUGUGUGCCUCAGUCUCUCUAUUGGUUAAAUGGGUCUAGCACUUUGUUGCACUGUCAUGAGGACCAGAUACAAACAUUGAUGAGCAGACCCCAGUCCUAUGAUUUUGACGGAGGUCUUCAUAAAUUUUCUCAGUGCUCUCAGCCUCCUAUAGCGUCACAAGUAAAAUACUAUGUGGGUUGGCCAAAGGUUCGUCCAUCUUUUCUGUAAGGUGUUGCAGAAAAACCUGAAGGAACUGUUGGCCAACUCACAUUAUAACCUGUCUUACAGAUGGGGGACUGAGGCUUUACAAAAAUUAGAAAAUAGGCCUGUAACUAGAAAAGGAAUUCCUGGCCAGUCUAGGUCUGCUCUGUGGGAAAAAUGCAUAAAACAUGCUCUGUGAAAAUUAAAAAGUAUAUUAAUAAAGCAGUAGAAAAAAAGAAUAAUAUAAAGUUUCAAUAAUAAAAAACAGCCGAUAUUCAAUUAAAUGGAUAUGUGAGACAGUAAACACUAGGAAUAUAAGACAUUUUCCAUGGCUAUAUUUUCUUUCAUCCUAGAACUGAACCAAACCCAAUAAAAGACUGUUUAUCACUCUCAGAAAAAAGUGUGCCAUUUAGUAUUUUCAUUUGAUAAUUUGAAUUUGAGUUGUUUUCUCC